GGGCAACCUCUCGGACGCGCGCGCCGGGCCGACGUUAAACGGAAAGUUCUCCAAGAUAGAUUGUUAUGAAAAGGGCAAGUGCAGAAAAGUCUACACAGUCUGCUACCUGACAAGAAUGAAAAAAGUGAAGAAAACACGUAUCAUUCAUUAUUGACUGAUAUCAGCAGGAAUGAAUACUGGGCAGAUACACAAGAAAAAGAAAAGUGACCACCUGGGUAAGUUGAGGGAUGGAUUCUUUAUAUAUAUCUCUUUACUUCAAAUAGUUUGAACCCUGUGAAUGUAAUACUUAUUUAAAAAAAUAAACACAUUUUGUAUUCAGAAGAACUUCCCCUCAAUAAUAUUCUUUCUCUUCAUUUUAUCCUCCUUAUCUCCCCACACAUGAUGUAGAAUGUUUUUAAUAAAACAAUUUGCGGAUGCAGAAUCAAUCAGUAAUGUAGGAAUCAGUAAUGCCAUCCAUCCACUUAUUCCUUAGAAUUGGUAAGUUUGGCAGGCACUUAGGAUCCUGGCAUCUCUCUGAAAUGAGAAGCUUUUG
This 532-nucleotide long non-coding RNA is filed under the name Pan troglodytes (chimpanzee). RNAcentral's name for it is "long non-coding RNA NONPTRT015042". Lineage: Eukaryota; Metazoa; Chordata; Mammalia; Primates; Hominidae. The record is from RNAcentral.